AUAUAUCAUGACCCAAUAAACAUCUCAAUGAUAUAGGUAGUGUGUUCAGGCCUUAGCAUAAGUAGAGCUUUGGCUGCAUACCAAAUAUAACUCCAACAGUAAGAAAUAAAUUGGAAAUACAAUGUUGUUCCCCAUCUAAAAACAUCACCAGCUGCCAGAGACUAUCCACCUACAUUCAAGCAAAUGAAACUUCCAUCAGUUAGGAUUGUAAAGAAUUUGAAUGAAGAAGCAAAUAAAAAGAUAUUUGCUUAAAUAAAUUUUUUUACAGGGCACAUUUCUGAAAACCAAGCCACUGAUUAAUUAGCAAUUUCGAGUACUUGUUGAGAGCUACUUAUUUCUUGAUGACAAUACUUCUUGUGGGGAGUCUCCCCCACCCUCUCAUCCUCCUCCUCCUCCAACUCCCACCACCGCUCCCUUCCACCACCGCUCUCUUCCCACCCCAUCUCGAAGAAAGCUUCCAAAAGAAAAAUAUUUUGUGACCAAAUUUUUUUAUCGAUAAAAAUCUGAAUUUUUUUAAUAUCAUCAAUUCAGAUCCAAUAUAUAUAGUGCGGUCAAAUAAAUAAAUCUAAACCACAAUUACAUAUGUAUACAGAUAAAUUGUAUAAAGAUAUUUUUGAGUUGGUGUGUAAAUUUAUUACAUCACAUUGUCGUUUAAUAUAUGAUAUGCUGGUUUAUAUUGCUUUUAAAGGUUUGUCUUGAAAAGAAACAAAAAGAAAAUCCUAAACUAC
This 728-nucleotide long non-coding RNA is filed under the name Phoenix dactylifera (date palm). RNAcentral describes it as "long non-coding RNA (PDAC_LNC006651)". The record is from RNAcentral. Lineage: Eukaryota; Viridiplantae; Streptophyta; Magnoliopsida; Arecales; Arecaceae.